UUUUUAAAAAAUAUAUUUUUAUUGAUGAUUCGCUGCACUGAGCCUUAGCUGAGUCAUGUGAGAUCGUUCAUUGCUGUACAUGGAUCCUCUAGCAUGGCUCAGUAGUUGGAGCAGGCGGACCUAGUUGCUCCGAGGCGUGUGGGAUCUUAGUUCCUGGACCAGGCAUUGAACCAGCCUCCCCUGCAUUGCAAGAUGGAUUCUUCACUACUGAGCCACCAGCGAAGUCCCUCUUGACACAUUGUGAAAAAUUUGGGGGCUAUGUGUUACUUAUUUAAGAUUUGGGGCAUUAGGUGAGAUCAAGAUUUUUGCAUUACUGCAGUUCAAAGGAGCAUAAUUCAGUUUCAGAUAAAAUGCCACUCAGGAAUUUGCCCCCAAAGAGAGGAAAUGCAGGUAAUUUUUUAACAACGUGACUGAGAUAUACUUGACAGACCAUAAAAACCUAUUGCUAGCUUACAGCUUAAUGAUUUUAAUAAAUCUGGGUCAUGCAGCCCUCACGACAGUCCAGUUUUACAACCGUCCCCUCACACCACAAAUGCAAAUGGUGGCUGGGUUUUCUGGCAAAAUCCAUACCCAGGUCAGCAUUCCAACCCCCGCAAACCAGUUCCAGGAAAGGCCAGUUCAGCUCGUCAAGUGUCCGGUGCACCCACAGCUAUCUGGCCUUCCUUCCUCUCCCCCUGCCUCCAGAGGCAGGGCCUUGGCCUGUCCUGUCUCUUGGACACACAUUUCCCUCUCCACCUGGUGGUGCGGGAGGCCAGUCAGAGCUGAAGGCAGAUGCUGCUUUCUGGGGCCCUGGGCUUUGACAGGUCCCAGAGCUAGCCCAGUGUGUGGAAGCCUUCUGUCCCAGGCCCUUCAGUCUGCUUCUGCCCUGGAUAGAGGCUGUGUCCUAUGGCCCUAACCUGAUGCACCAAAGCUGGGCUCCCAGACCUGCUCUCCCUGGCACCUGGGGGGCCCUGUGGUGCCAUUGGGCGUUUCCCAUGGGAGUGGAGCUCAGUAACUCUUCCCCCUUCUCCAUGGGUCUGCCUUACCUCCUGGCCCAGUUUGUCUUACUCGCUCAGCCAGUAAAGGUGGUCCAGGCUCUUGGGCGUCCUGGUGGACUUGCUCUCUGUGGUCUCCAUAAGCUACAGGAAGUCCCUCUUCCCUUGUCUGCUGGGGAGGGUAUGGAUGUUUCUCUACCUUGUUCGUUUAAAUAUUCCAAAGUCUUAGAAGCAUACCUGACCCAUAACAGACAUUAAUCAAAAUGUAAACUCCCAUGGAUUUGGAGUUUUAUAGGAGCCCCCUUGCAAAGGGGGCCCCCCUUGUAAAGGGCAGGAAUGUUAUCAGUUCCUGUCCAUCCAGAUGACUGUGCAGACGCUGGGGGAAUGGGUCCCAUUUGAUCUAGGAGCCCCAUGGACAGCAAAGACAUCUGACCAGUCCAUCCUAGAGGAGAUCAGUCCUGGUACUUCGGCCACCUGAUGCAAAGAGCUGACUCAUUUGAAAAGAACCUAAUGCUGGGAAAGAUUGAGGGCAGGAGGAGAAGGGGACGACAGAGGAUGAGAUGGCUGGAUGGCAUCACCGACUCGAUGGACAUGAGUUUGAGCCAACUCUGGGAGACAGUGGAAGACAGGGAGGCCUGGUGUGUUGCAGUCCAUGGGGUCGCAAAGAGUCAGAAACAACUGGGUGACUGAACAACAACAAAGCCCCUUAUAGACAAUUGGGUCUCCUUUCUCUGAAGAGCCCUGGUGGACCAGACUGUCUGAGGAGCUGGUCCGCCCUUCCACAGAACUCCCCACAACCCUCCCUUGUUCCUCAGCUCAGGUAAGUCUUUUCAGGUGGGUCAGUUCCCUCAACUGGACCCAAGUUCCCAACUGAGCCAGCCCAUUUGGGCAGCUGCUUCCACCACUGUAAAGCGUCUGCCGACAAUGCGGGAGACCUGGGUUCAGUCCCUGGGUCGGGAAGCUCUCCUGGAGAAGGAAACAGCAACCCACUCCAGUAUUCUUGCCUGGAAAAUCCCAUGGACGGAGGAGUCUGGUGAGCUACAGUCCAUGGGGUAGCCAAAAUUCAGACACAAUUGAGCGACUUCACUUUCACUUCUCCUUUUUGGGCUGGGAUCUCCCAGCCCUUUGGAUCCCCCAAAGCUAGCCCCCACCAAACAGGUCUCCCUAGUCCCACUGUCCCAGCUUUCUGGGGGGGAUCACCUGAUCACAUGGCCCCACAAGUUCUCUCAGUUCUGUAGCCAGCUUGAGUUUUGGUCUCUUUUCUCUUUUCCUCCUUGCAGCGUGUCCCAGGCCUCUUCCCUUCUUCAAUACUGGGAAAUGCAUUGUCGGCCCCACUGCUAUGAGCCCCGAAGUGACACUGCUGUGCUUGUCCACGCUAGAUCCAUUCUACAAGAGGCCAUUCUGGGCCCAAGGGCUGAAUCAACAGUCCCAGAGACCCUCCCCUGCUCUCGAAGCCACUCCAGACUGAGUUUGGGACGGCCCAGGUAGGAGAUCCCUGGGCGUCAAUAGGCGGUGGGGGCGCGGCGGGUACGGGGGCGCUGUGGGCGGGCUUAGGGGCAGGGCCGAGGGUGCUGACCUACUGAGGGCUGCUCUCAGGGGCUGGGCGGGGCCGAGGACAGUGCUGGGGGCGGGGCCCGGCCGGGGCGGGCCUGAGGUUGGGUUCUGAUUGGGUCG
Molecule: long non-coding RNA, 2648 nt
Organism: Bos taurus (domestic cattle)
Lineage: Eukaryota; Metazoa; Chordata; Mammalia; Artiodactyla; Bovidae
Source: Ensembl